GGAAGACACUCGCACGUGUAAGAGCCAUUCACGUUCACACAUUUAGUGUUUGCGUUACAAUGGUGCCCCUCGGAGCCACCUUGCUGUUUGCAUUCAUCUAUGUCUGUGACGUUAACGGUCGGAACCGACGGAAAUAUCACGAUCGCCAUCUCAGUGGAUUUAAUUGAAUUAAAGGCUAUUAAAUAUCGACGCAAAGAAAAAAGAGAAGAAAAGACAUACACAAAAAGAGAGACAGCAAAGUUAGAGAAGCAUUAGAUACCGUGACAGUUAUGACCGUCCCCCUGGAAACCGAUAUCGCAAUGGCAGGCGUACGUUGUCUGCAGAUUCAGGCAGGACGCAUUAGCAUGACACUUGUGGCCCUUCGCACAGUAGUCCACCCCUGGUUAAAUUGGGUUAGCCAGGAAAAUGCAGAGAUGAUAUUGCUUGGCUGCCAUGCCAUUUAGGAUAUGAAUAUUGAUAGCAGAAAAGAGGAAAUUUCGCCUAGGGAUUUUUUUAAUGUGAGUACCAUAAAAUGGCAUGCAUCGUUCUUUU
Apis florea (little honeybee) is the source of this 531-nucleotide long non-coding RNA. The record is from RefSeq and is a predicted model, not a curated record. NCBI's taxonomy places the organism in Eukaryota, Metazoa, Arthropoda, Insecta, Hymenoptera, Apidae.